GGAGUUGUGGCUCAGAGGUAGAGCACUCACCUAGCAUGUGCAAGGACCUGGGUUUGAUCCUCAGCACCA
This 69-nucleotide transfer RNA is filed under the name Marmota monax (woodchuck). RNAcentral describes it as "tRNA.Ala". Lineage: Eukaryota; Metazoa; Chordata; Mammalia; Rodentia; Sciuridae. The record is from RNAcentral.